Molecule: ribosomal RNA, 497 nt
Filed under: uncultured bacterium
Lineage: Bacteria
Description: partial 16S ribosomal RNA
Rfam family: Bacterial small subunit ribosomal RNA
Source: RNAcentral
GAUGAACGCUGGCGGCGUGCCUAAUACAUGCAAGUCGAGCGAACAGACGAGGAGCUUGCUCCUCUGACGUUAGCGGCGGACGUGUGAGUAACACGUGGAUAACCUACCUAUAAGACUGGUAUAACUUCGGGAAUCCGGAGCUAAUACCGUAUAAUAUAUUGAACCGCAUGGUUCAAUAGUGAAAGACGGCUUUUCUGUCACUUAUAGAUGGAUCCGCGCCGCAUUAGCUAGUUGGUAAGGUAACGGCUUACCAAGGCAACGAUGCGUAGCCGACCUGAGAGGGUGAUAGGCCACACUGGAACUGAGACACGGUCAAGACGCCUACGGGAGGCAGCAGUAGGGAAUCUUCCGCAAUGGGCGAAAGCAUGACGGAGCAACGCCGCGUGAGUGAUGAAGGUCUUCGGAUCGUAAAAAUCUGUUAUUAGGGAAGAACAAAUGUGUAAGUAACUAUGCACGUCUUGACGGUACCUAAUCAGAAAGCCACGGCUAACUACGUG